AGUGAACGCUGGCGGUAGGCCUAACACAUGCAAGUCGAACGGCAGCACUGUAAGAGCUUGCUCUUACGGGUGGCGAGUGGCGGACGGGUGAGGAAUACAUCGGAAUCUACUUUUUCGUGGGGGAUAACGUAGGGAAACUUACGCUAAUACCGCAUACGACCUACGGGUGAAAGCAGGGGAUCUUCGGACCUUGCGCGAUUGAAUGAGCCGAUGUCGGAUUAGCUAGUUGGCGGGGUAAAGGCCCACCAAGGCGACGAUCCGUAGCUGGUCUGAGAGGAUGAUCAGCCACACUGGAACUGAGACACGGUCCAGACUCCUACGGGAGGCAGCAGUGGGGAAUAUUGGACAAUGGGCGCAAGCCUGAUCCAGCCAUACCGCGUGGGUGAAGAAGGCCUUCGGGUUGUAAAGCCCUUUUGCUGGGAAAGAAAAGCAGCAGGUUAAUACCCCGCUGUUCUGACGGUACCCAAAGAAUAAGCACCGGCUAACUUCGUG
This 492-nucleotide ribosomal RNA is filed under the name uncultured bacterium. RNAcentral's name for it is "partial 16S ribosomal RNA". It matches the Rfam family "Bacterial small subunit ribosomal RNA", at positions 29 to 507 of the family's 1533-position model. The record is from RNAcentral.